AAGUCGUAACAAGGUUUCCGUAGGUGAACCUGCGGAAGGAUCAUUACUGCUUGCUUACGGUUUCGUUCGGGCAACCGAGCGGGGCCGGGCACGCUACCCUUGCUUAUGUAUACCUAUUGUUAUUCCCUCGGCGGGGAGACCCGCCGCCGGGAUCAAUUAAACCCUUUUGUAUAAAGCAUCAAAACUUCUGAAAACAAAUUAAUAAUUACAACUUUUAACAAUGGAUCUCUUGGUUCUG
This 238-nucleotide unclassified non-coding RNA is filed under the name fungal sp. RNAcentral describes it as "partial internal transcribed spacer region". The stretch from base 1 to 46 matches the Rfam family "Eukaryotic small subunit ribosomal RNA", at positions 1786 to 1831 of the family's 1831-position model. Lineage: Eukaryota; Fungi. The record is from RNAcentral. RNAcentral also lists the same sequence under 2 other names.